AGUGGUAGAGGCGCGGUUAUCAAGAGUACCGUGCGGCACGGGUUCUCAAACCCGGGGGCUGGCAAGCCGCCGCACGCGAAAGGGGUCGCCGCCGAAGUGCAGUCCGUCCGUUGCCACGGCGGGUGCGCUGGGACGCCGCAGAACAUGCGGCGCACUGUCACGAAAGUGGAGCGCUAUCA
Molecule: non-coding RNA, 179 nt
Filed under: human gut metagenome
Description: Lysine riboswitch
Rfam family: Lysine riboswitch aptamer
About the family: Riboswitches are metabolite binding domains within certain messenger RNAs that serve as precision sensors for their corresponding targets. Allosteric rearrangement of mRNA structure is mediated by ligand binding, and this results in modulation of gene expression.
Source: RNAcentral